CCUCUCGUAGCGUAGGGGUAACGCGCCUUAUCUAGUGAACAGGGUGCGUGAGUUCGAUUCGCACCAAGAAGA
This 72-nucleotide transfer RNA is filed under the name Aedes aegypti (yellow fever mosquito). It matches the Rfam family "tRNA". Rfam says of the family: Transfer RNA (tRNA) molecules are approximately 80 nucleotides in length. Their secondary structure includes four short double-helical elements and three loops (D, anti-codon, and T loops). The record is from Rfam by way of RNAcentral. Lineage: Eukaryota; Metazoa; Arthropoda; Insecta; Diptera; Culicidae.